Long non-coding RNA from Dromaius novaehollandiae (emu), 290 nucleotides. RefSeq lists it as uncharacterized. The record is from RefSeq and is a predicted model, not a curated record. The transcript has 3 exons. Lineage: Eukaryota; Metazoa; Chordata; Aves; Casuariiformes; Dromaiidae.
UUGCAGUGAUGCUGAGCAAACUGAGUCAGUGCUGUGCUGGGCACACUGGUGGCUGUCUUUGGGACUCGGGAACCAGCCUAACAUAUGUUAUGAGGAACAAGACAGCUUUGCAACACACAGAAUUAUUCUGACAUGGUAAUUCAGGCUACGCUGUUCCUACUGGGCUGUCCAACUGAAGGAAACGUACUUCUGGAGCUAAGACUUAGAAAGCUACUGCCAAGCCUAAACCGCUACCUCUGCCAGCCUGUCUGCUGACCAGGGUGAGAGGCAGUGUGAUUCUUAAACCUUGC